AGUGAACGCUGGCGGUAGGCCUAACACAUGCAAGUCGAAUGGCAGCACAGGAGAGCUUGCUCUCUGGGUGGCGAGUGGCGGACGGGUGAGGAAUACAUCGGAAUCUGCCCAGUCGUGGGGGAUAACGUAGGGAAACUUACGCUAAUACCGCAUACGACCUUCGGGUGAAAGAGGGGGAUCGCAAGACCUCUCGCGAUUGGAUGAGCCGAUGUCGGAUUAGCUAGUUGGCGGGGUAAUGGCCCACCAAGGCGACGAUCCGUAGCUGGUCUGAGAGGAUGAUCAGCCACACUGGAACUGAGACACGGUCCAGACUCCUACGGGAGGCAGCAGUGGGGAAUAUUGGACAAUGGGCGCAAGCCUGAUCCAGCCAUACCGCGUGGGUGAAGAAGGCCUUCGGGUUGUAAAGCCCUUUUGUUGGGAAAGAAAUCUUUCAGGCUAAUACCCUGGGAGGAUGACGGUACCCAAAGAAUAAGCACCGGCUAACUUCGUG
This 490-nucleotide ribosomal RNA is filed under the name uncultured bacterium. RNAcentral's name for it is "partial 16S ribosomal RNA". It matches the Rfam family "Bacterial small subunit ribosomal RNA", at positions 29 to 507 of the family's 1533-position model. The record is from RNAcentral.